This 245-nucleotide long non-coding RNA is filed under the name Setaria italica (foxtail millet). Its description in RNAcentral is "long non-coding RNA (SITA_LNC002346)". Lineage: Eukaryota; Viridiplantae; Streptophyta; Magnoliopsida; Poales; Poaceae. The record is from RNAcentral.
AAAGAUGUGCAAUCUCUGCAAAGUGUAAAACUGAUCGAUCAGCCAUGCUCACGGUUAAGAGUGGCCUGGACCCUCACAUAAUAAUAUUAUCGAAAGAUGGACUAAAAUCUUUGUCAUUUAUUCAUGGUUAUGUUGCUAUUCUAUUUAUGUUCUUGUUUAAUUUCAGGUGGUAUAAACUUACACUUAGUUAAUUGCUAAUAAAAUUUGACCAACUAAAUUAAAAGCUGAUGCUGAUUAAACCUUAG